This 76-nucleotide transfer RNA is filed under the name Pusillimonas sp. Its description in RNAcentral is "tRNA-Lys". It matches the Rfam family "tRNA". From Rfam's summary of the family: Transfer RNA (tRNA) molecules are approximately 80 nucleotides in length. Their secondary structure includes four short double-helical elements and three loops (D, anti-codon, and T loops). Further hydrogen bonds mediate the characteristic L-shaped molecular structure. tRNAs have two regions of fundamental functional importance: the anti-codon, which is responsible for specific mRNA codon recognition, and the 3' end, to which the tRNAs corresponding amino acid is attached (by aminoacyl-tRNA synthetases). tRNAs cope with the degeneracy of the genetic code in two manners: having more than one tRNA (with a specific anti-codon) for a particular amino acid; and 'wobble' base-pairing, i.e. permitting non-standard base-pairing at the 3rd anti-codon position. RNAcentral also lists the same sequence under 1 other name. The record is from RNAcentral. Lineage: Bacteria; Pseudomonadati; Pseudomonadota; Betaproteobacteria; Burkholderiales; Alcaligenaceae.
GGGGCUUUAGCUCAGUUGGUAGAGCAGAAGACUCUUAAUCUUUUGGUCGUGGGUUCGAGCCCCACAGGCCCCACCA